Molecule: ribosomal RNA, 225 nt
Filed under: Listeria monocytogenes
Lineage: Bacteria; Bacillati; Bacillota; Bacilli; Caryophanales; Listeriaceae
Description: partial 16S ribosomal RNA
Rfam family: Bacterial small subunit ribosomal RNA
Source: RNAcentral
UAUUUUAAAGAGAGUUUGAUCCUGGCUCAGGACGAACGCUGGCGGCGUGCCUAAUACAUGCAAGUCGAACGAACGGAGGAAGAGCUUGCUCUUCCAAAGUUAGUGGCGGACGGGUGAGUAACACGUGGGCAACCUGCCUGUAAGUUGGGGAUAACUCCGGGAAACCGGGGCUAAUACCGAAUGAUAAAGUGUGGCGCAUGCCACGCUUUUGAAAGAUGGUUUCGG